Molecule: ribosomal RNA, 2786 nt
Filed under: Pogostemon cablin (patchouli)
Lineage: Eukaryota; Viridiplantae; Streptophyta; Magnoliopsida; Lamiales; Lamiaceae
Description: eukaryotic LSU rRNA
Rfam family: Eukaryotic large subunit ribosomal RNA
Source: RNAcentral
GCGACCCCAGGUCAAGUGGGAUCACCCGCUGAGUUUAAGCAUAUCAAUAAGCAUAGCAAAAUAAACAUACAUGGAUUCCCCUAGUAACUACGAGCGAACCGGGAAUAGCCUAACUUGAGAAUCGAGUGACCACACCAUUCGAAUUGCAGUCUGAAGAAGCGUCCUCAGCGGCAGACCGGGGUCGAGUCCCCUGGAAUGGGGCGCCAUAGAGGGUGAGAGCCCCAUUGCUCCUGGACCCUAUCGCACCAUAAGGCGCUAUCGACAAGUCAGGUUGUUUGGGAAUGCAGCCCCAAUCGGGCGGUAAAUUCCGUCCAAAGCUAAAUACAGGCGAGAGACUGAUAGCGAACAAGUACCGCGAGGGAAAGAUAAAAAGGACUUUGAAAAGAGAGUCAAAAAGUGCUUGAAAUUGUCAGGGGGAAAGCGGAUGGGGGCCGGUGAUGCAUCCCGGUCGGAUGUGGAACGACGAGAGCCAGUCCGCCGAUCGACUCGGGGCGCGGACCAGCACGGAUCGAUGCGGAGCUCAAAUUGGGGCGGUUGAUAUGCUCAUUUUAUGGCAUCGCGUUGAUCCAGGUGGACAACGUGUCCUCAUGCGUGCCUCGGUAACUAUGCUUUCCUGGUGCUAGCCUGUGGGCUCCCCAUUCGACCCGUCUUGAAACACGGACCAAGGAGUCUGACAUGUAUGCGAGUCAAUGGGCGAUUAAACCCGUAAGGCGCAAGAAACCUGAUCGGCGCCAUCCCCCCGAUAAGUGCACCGCCGACCAACCAUUAUCUUCUAAGAAGGGUUCGAGUGAGCGUACCUGUCAGGACCCAAAAGAUGGUGAACUAUGCCUAAGCGGGGCGAAGCCAGAGGAAACUCUUGUGGAGGCCCGCAGCAAUACUGACAUGCAAAUCGUUCAUCUAACUUGGGUAUAGGGGCGAAAGACUAAUCAAACCGUCUAGUAGCUAGUUUCCUCCGAAGUUUCCCUUAGGAUAGUUGUAGCUCUAGUGUGAGUUCUAUUGGGUAAAGCCAAUGAUUAGAGGCAUCGGGGGCACAAUGCCCUCGAUCUAUUCUCAAACUUUAAAUUGUUAGGAUGGCGCGGCUGCUCCAUUGAGCCGCACCAGAGAAUCGUGAGCUCCAAGUGGGCCAUUUUUGGUAAGCAGAACUAGCGAUGCGGGAUGAACUGGAAGCUGGGUUAUGUGCCCAACUGCGCGCUAACCUAGAUCCCACAAAGGGUGUUGGUCGAUUAAGACAGCAGGAUGGUGGUCAUGGAAGUCAAAAUCCGCUAAGGAGUGUGUAACAACUCACCUGUCGAAUCAACUAGCCCCGUAAAUAGAAGGCGCUGAAGUGCGCGACCUAUACCCGGCCAUCGGGGCAAGGGCCAUGCCCCGAUGAGUAGGAGGGCGCGGCAAUCGCUGCAAGACCCUGGGCGCGAGAUCGGGUGGAGCGGUUGUCGGUGCGGAUCUUGGUGGUAGUAGCAAAUAUUCAAAUGAUAAAUUUGAAGGCUGAAGAGGGGAAAUGUUCCAUGUGAACGGCAGUUACACAUUGGUUAGUCGAUCCUAAGGGUCGGGAGAAGCCCGACAGACAGCACGUUCAGUGCGUGCUCCAAAAGGGAAUCGAGUUAAAAUUCCAGAACUAGGAUGCGGUGGUUGACAGCAACAUUAGGUAGUCCGAAGACGUCAGUGGGGGCCUCGGGAAGAGUUAUCUUUUCUGUUUAACAGCCCGCCCACCAUGGAAAUGGCUCAGUCGGAGGUAGAGUCCAGCGGCUGGAAGAGCACCGCAUGUCGCGUGGUGUCCGGUGCGUCCCUGGAAGCCCUUGAAAAUCUAGAGGACCGAGUACCGUCUGCGCCUGGUCGUACUCAUAACCGUAUCUGUCUCCAAGUUGAACAGCAUCUGGUUGAUGGAACAAUGUAGGCAAGGGAAGUCGGCAAAAUAGAUCCAUAACCUAGAGAAAAGAAUUGGCUCUGAGGGCUGGGCACGGGGGUCCUAGUCCAGAACCCGUCGGCUGUCGGGGAACUGCUCGAGCUGCUCGCGCGGCGAGAGUGGGUCAUCACGUACUGGCCAGGGGACGGACUGGGAAUGGCUCUCUCGGGGGCCUUCCCCGAGCAUUGAAGAGUCGACUCAGAAUUGGUACAGACAAGGGGAAUCCGACUGUUUAAUUAAAACAAAGCAUUGCGAUGGUCCCUACGAAUGCUCGCGCAAUGUGAUUUCUGCCAAGUGCUCUGAAUGUCAAAGUGAAGAAAUUCAACCAAGCGCGGGUAAACGGUGGGGGUAACUAUGACUCUCUUAAGGUAGCCAAAUGCCUCAUCAUCUAAUUAGUAACGCGCAUGAAUGGAUUAACCAGAAUCCCACUAUCCCUGUCUACUAUCCAGCGAAACCACAGCCAAGGGAAUGGGCUUGGCAGAAUCAGUGAGGAAAGAAGACUCUUUUGAGCUUGACUCUAGUCCGACUUUUUGAAAUGACUUGAGAGGUGUAAGAUAAGUGGGAGCUGAAAGGCGAAAGUGAAAUACCACUACUUUUAAUGUUAUUUUACUUAUUCCAUGAAUCAGAGGUGGGGCAUUGCCCUCUUUUUGGACCCAAGGCUCGCCCCGGUGGGCCGAUCUAGGCAGAAGACAUUGUCAGGUAGGGAGUUUGGCUGGGGCAGCACAUCUGUUAAAAGAUAACGCAGGUGUCCUAAGAUAAAAAGCCAGUGACGCGAAGCUACAGUGCGCUGGAUUAUGACUGAACGCCUCUAAGUCAGAAUCCGAGCUAGACGCGAUGCAUGCGCCCGCCGUCCGCUCCCUGACCCACAGUAGGGGCCCCUGGGACC